CACACGGCGGCGCGGGUAUGCGGGCCUCCCGCACAGCCGCCUGCACCGGUAGUUGUGCAGAUCCGGAUUCCGAGCCUCUUUUCAUCUCCUCUCCUGCAAUUCAACCCACGUAAUUUCCAUGAAGGAAGUGGAGUGGUAUCAUUUUACAACAAGAAAACAGUUAAGAGUAAGUCAAAUUAGUUGCCAGAUAUUGGGACUAAAAUUGAAGUUUCUUAAUACUCCAGUCAAAGAUUUUCAUAUUAAAUCAUUAUCUUGUCAUUAUUUUAUUCUUCAAUUAUUCCUUUCCUUUGUUUUCAGAAAAAUUUAAAAUAUUAGUGCUACAGUUCAAAUGUCUCCCCAAAAGUUCAUGGUAACCCAACACUACUAUGUUAAGGGUAUUCUGAAGCGGGGCCUUUAGGAGGUGACUGGGAUUAGAUGGGGAAGCCCCACGAGUGCAUAGCUGGCUCUGUAAGAAGAGGACGAGACUCCAGCUGGCACCCCUGCUCUGCCGGGUAAGUGGUGAUACAGCAGGAAGGCCCUCCCUGAAACCAAGCACGUGGCAGUGGCAUGCUCUUGGACUUCCCAGGCUGCAGAGCUAUAAGCUAAAUAAACUUCUUUUCUUUAUAAAUUAAUCAGCCAUAGCAGCAUAAAACAAAGAGAGCUGAUAAUAUGCCUUCCAGUCCCUUGACUCAGAAAUGCCAAGAACACAUGUUCGUAUGCCCCUUAUUCUUCAUCUCAAAUAUUUCUGAUUUUUUGCAACCAUAUUUUUCUGUCCCUACCAUCAGGAUGAGAAAGAAAAUGCACCUGCCUUCUGUCUUUGUGGCUAUUUAACCCUGUGAUUUUCACUCCAUUAUCACCGUUAAGUCUUCGGGUCCUCUAUCUAAUUUCCACCUAGAAAUGUUCAUUAUACUCAAUGGUUAACUCUUCCAAAUCAGCUGAAGAAAGAAUUACCAGGCCUCAUGGGCUGUGGGCUGUACAUGCUACUAGGUCCAAUCCUGAUUAAAACCUCCUCGUCCUGAGCUUGGUCUGGGUCUACUGUCUCUGUUUCCCAGGAGCACACGGAAUGAGAAACCACACCUUCUGGCCAUCACCAGCUGACUCAAUCAGCACAACUCUUCUUGCUUGACUCACUCACAUAACCACAAGUACGCAAGUUGAUCCCUGGGAUGCUGAACAGUGUACUUAAAGCUCCCUUCAUGAUUUGUCCUAUUUAUUACUGUGUCACAACUUUAUUUUUUUUUCUUGGACAGGCAGAGUGGACAGUGAGAGAGAGAGAGAGAGAGAGAGAGAGGGGUCUUCCUUUUCCGUUGGUUCACCCUCCAAUGGCUGCUGCAGCCGACGCACCACGCUGAUCCGAAGCCAGGAGCCAGGUGCUUCUCCUGGUCUCCCAUGGGGUGCAGGGCCCAAGCACUUGGGCCAUCCUCCACUGCACUCCUGGGCCACAGCAGAGAGCUGGACUGGAAGAGGAGCAACAGAGACAGAAUCCGGUGCCCCGACCAGGACUAGAACCCGGUGUGCCAGCGCCGCAGGUGGAGGAUUAGCCUACUGAGGCGCAGCGCCGGCCACAACUUACUCUAAAACUUUAGGGGCUUAAAGCCACUGCCAUUUGAGUCUACCCCAUGAUUUUGUGUGUCAGGCAAUUCUGACCUGAUAACCUGGAGGCUUCACUGAUUCCUCUGAACUUUGGCAGGGAUGGACAGAAAGCUGACCUUUGCUAGGACCAUCAGUUGGCUUCUCCAGGGAACUUGUCUUAGGGUAGCUGGGUGUUGAGGGCAGGGCUUGCCGGGAGAGUGUUCUGAGAAGGUGGAAGCAUCCAGUCUCUUGAGAGCUGGGAUCAGAAAGGAGCACAACAUCUUUUUUGCCAUUUCCUAUUGGUCAAGCAGUUACCUCAGCAGCCUAUGUGGUACAGACUGUGUGGCCACCUGCAACCUAUCACAAACUUUAUUCAUCCAGCACUCGUAGAGCAUGCAGUAUGGAGCAGGCUCUGUGUAAGACUCGGAGUAUGGAGGAAAGUUAACACACUAAGAAGUUCACUGGCUGGAGCAGAAGCAAAAAUGUUUUAUUGUUCUUAUUCACAAUCUUCUAGAGAUUCUCUAAAACAACACAUUAAUGAAGCCCAGAAUAACUUUUAGGAAAGUAAUGUAAAUGAAAAAGAGAAAAAAAUAUUCACUGUCUAAUGAUCUCCAUUUGCUCGUAAUUCAAAUGUCUAUUUGAGUCACAACACCUGGCACACAACUGAACUGUGAUGUGGAGCUGAAGCUUCAAGUGUUACAGGGAAUAAGUGGCAGUGAUGACUUCUUUGGGGAGUGGCUCUUGUGCAUGCGAAGAAGAAAUUGUAGUCAUGCUUAGUGAUUGUGGGACAUAUUCCAAAUGGCUUCAGUUCACGUCCGCAAGGCAAGCGGCUAGGCCACUUAUCACCCAUGGCAACUCUGUCAGUCACAAAUCAGAGAAGCCUCACUCCUGUAACACAGUGUUAGGAUCAUAAAGGAAAGACAGAGCAUUCAUAUUCACCUUCCAGGGAGAAAAAGGAAAAAUGUUGUUUCUAGUUUGGCAGCCUUCCAGCCAGGGCGUUGCCUUACCCUCCAGCAGAGCUGCUAGGCAUGAAGCUGCUUAGCUUAACACACGGGUGUGUAAUGGUUGUUUAACAUUUGAGAUUUCUAGCAAGAGUCUCAGAGAAUAUGGUCAUACUGUGGUAGGCUACUGUGCUCAUGAAGCAAAAAUGUGGUAAAGAGAUUUUGGCUGUGGAGAAACUGGGUUUGCUUCUGCCUUGUAGGGAGGUUUUCCAAAGGUCAUGGUCAUUAAAAUCACUGACCCGCAGUCCUUUUCCUGAAUGCCUUGUUCUCCUGGGUCUCUGGGCUUUACCCAUGUUGCUCUGUCUGCCUGUGUCUUAGCCUUUCAUCAUGAUAACAAAUACCCAAGAGAAGCAAUUUAUGAAAGAGGAAAGUAAUUCUUUAUUUUAAUUUUUAAUUAGUUUUUAACAAAUUCAGUGUGAUUUGAGAAGUUAUUUUUUUUUCAUGGAGUCAAAACAGGAGGUUCACAGUCCAAGACUGGGUGACCUCUUUGGUCUGAUGUCUGCUGCAGACAGCAGGAAGAGGAGCAAGUGCAGAGGAAGGAUCAUACGGUGAGCCAGGAAGCAGAGCAACUGGGCUGGCUCCGGUUUGUAUAACCAACCCUUUCAGGAGACAACCCCUGAUGACCUAAGGGUCUCCCGGUAGGCCCACCCCCUAAAAAGCAUAAUUGGAUCAAGCCCCCACCCUCUCCUAAGAGCAGCACCCUUGGGCCACACCUUUAACAUACUGGGCCCUUGUAGGACACCAAAGCUAAUGUCCAAACGGUAGCACUCUCCUGGAACACCUGGGCCACUCUGGAAAAGGGAAAGGAACACACAGAAGGACGUGGGGACUGGAGGAGUGGCCUUAGGACAUCCAUAGUUGGAAAGUACAUGUUGUUCCCAGCAGUGAUGCCAACAACAAACACUGUUGUUUAGAGAAGAGAGAGAAUGAUGAUGACUCAGAUGGUAAGAAAAGCCUCAUGUAAGGUAUGUGAGCUUUGGGUAAACAGAGAUGUCAAAGACAUGGCUGUGAUUCCAGCCAGUGUUUUUGAGCACCUCCAUUAUGGUAGUCAUUGCCUGGAAAUGAGCCCACCAUGGGAGCAACACACAUUAAGGAGACCUUGAAGAGACUGACCAAGUACUAUGUUUGGAGAAUAUUAGGAGAUAAUAUUAGGAACACAGGAACAGGGAAAUUAGAAGUCUUGAGUCCUUUUCUGAAGCCUUUAAGGCCAGUAUUUCUUUUUCUAGAAAUAGAAAUUUCUUUGUUUGCUUCAAAGAACCCUCGAUAAAUUUCUUUCCAAAAGAAGAAUCUAUGUCACAGAAAAUAAACAACAGCCCAGCACCUGCAUGCUACAUACAUCUCUGUUGUCAUCAUUGUUCGACAUCAUUUAUAGCCAGAAUCAAAUGCCUAGUAGUUCUUGGCACCUGUCCCUGCAUUCUUUGACUUUUCAUUCUUAUAUAUUUCUUGGUUUAGGUUUGAUUUGAAGCAUGCAUUGCACAAAUGACCUUUAAAGUAUUAUUACAAUUGUGUGGGUGAGCAAUUAGGAAAUGAGGCCUAAACAAUUUCUAGUGUUGUAUUUUUUUUAAAGAUUUGUUAAUUACUUGAAAGGCAGGGUUAGAGAGAGAGAGAGAGAGAGAGAGAGAUCAUCCAUUUAUCGGUUCACCUCCCAAGUGACAACAAUAGCCAAGACAUGGCCACACCAAAGCCAGCAGCCUGGAACUCCAUCCAGGUCUCUAAUGUGGGUGGCUAGGAUCUAAGCACUUGGGCUAUCUUCUACUACUUUCUCAGGUGCACUAGCAGGGAGCUGGAUUGGAAGCAGAUCAGUCCAGGACUUGAACUGGCAUCCAUAUAUGAUGCUGGUGUCACAGGCAGCAUCUUAAUGCACUGUGCCACAAUGCCGGCCCCUCGUGUUGUAUUUUCCUAAAUCACAUUAUUAAAUUAUUCAGCGUACUCUAAGGAGAUGAGGCUAGGAGAAGGAAGAAUUUGUAACAUGUGUGGAUCAGUCUCCAGAAGAUGGAAGAUAAUGACAAUCUCUUGUCUUCUUUCCAUUCCUCAGUAUCCCUGUUCUGUCAUGUAAGGCCCACCUCAAAUUCAGCUUCCUCUGUGCUAUUUACUCUAACCUUUCCAACCUUAGCUGAUAAUUUCCCUCCCUGAUCUCCUCUUCUAUGUAUAUCAUUAUUUCGUUCUCUCAACUGUUGUUAGAAACUAGUAAGCAUUUGAGGACAAGAAGUAAGUUCUAUACAUCUUUUCUAUUACUUAGGGUACUGCUAAUACAUAACAACCAAUACUUAUUGAGUAUGUAACUGUGCCCAAGGCUUUGUGUGCUCUUCUUUAUCUAGUUCUCAUGAUCAUCCUUUGAGAAAUUGUGCUAUUAUCACCCACACAUUACAACAAGGAAACUGACAAUCAAGGUUCUCUGCAAGUGAUUGGGGAAUACCAGAUUUGAAUCCAGAUUUCCACUAGAACUGAAGUCCAUUCAUGAAGAGAAGCCAUCCGUUCACCUGCUUUCUCCAAGUCUCCAUCUCUGGAUCACACAGCCAGCUGUAACUUGCCGCAGUCUGAAUGGCUCCCUGAUCUUGACACCCAAGAAUGACUGUAAUUGGAGCCAACAUUGUGGCAUAGCGAGUAAAGCUGCUGCUUGUGAUGCCAGCAUCACAUAUGGGUGCUGGUUCAAGUCCCUGCUGCUCCACUUCUGAUCCAGCUCCCUGCCAAUGCUCUGGGAAAAGCAGCAGAGGGCAGCCUAAGUGCUAGGGCCCCUGCACCCACAUGGGACACCCAGAAGCAGCUCCUGGCUCCUGGCUUUGGCUUGUGACUGGGGAGUAAACCAGUGGAUGGAAGAUUUCUCUCUCUGUGUCUCUCCCUCAUUCUCUGAAACUCUUUCAAAUAAAUAAAUCUAAAAACAUUCCCUUCUAUA
Molecule: non-coding RNA, 5445 nt
Organism: Oryctolagus cuniculus (rabbit)
Lineage: Eukaryota; Metazoa; Chordata; Mammalia; Lagomorpha; Leporidae
Source: RefSeq, a predicted model, not a curated record